UGAAUACGAGACGCUAAGGCGUUGAAGUAGUGUAUAUCAUACUUCCAAGAAAAGCUUGCACUGUCAUAGAUAAAAAACGCCUGUACCAUAACCGACACAGGUGGGUAGGUAGAGUAUACUAAGGGGCGCGAGAUAACUCUCUCUAAGGAACUCGGCAAAAUAGCUCCGUAACUUCGGGAGAAGGAGUGCCUUAUUUAUAAGGUUGCAAUAACAAGAUCCAAGCAACUGUUUAUCAAAAACACAGGUCUCCGCUAAGUCGUAAGACGAUGUAUGGGGGCUGACGCCUGCCCAGUGCCAGAAGGUUAAAGAAGUUGGUUAGCAAUAGCGAAGCUGAUAACUGAAGCCCUGGUGAACGGCGGCCGUAACGAUAACGGUCCUAAGGUAGCGAAAUUCCUUGUCGGGUAAGUUCCGACCCGCACGAAAGGCGUAAUGAUUUGGAUACUGUCUCGGAGAGGGGCUCGGUGAAAUAGACUUGUCUGUGAAGAUGCGGACUACCUGCACCAGGACAGAAAGACCCUAUGAAGCUUUACUGUAACUUGAAAUUGAAAUUGGACUUUAUUCGCGCAGUAUAGGUGGGAGGCGUUGAUUGUAAUCUUGCGGGAUUAUUGGAGCCAUCAGUGAGAUACCACCCUUGUAAUGUUAGAUUUCUAACUUUGAAUCAUUAUCUGGUCAAAGAACAGUUUCAGGCGGGCAGUUUGACUGGGGCGGUCGCCUCCUAAACGGUAACGGAGGCGUACAAAGGUUUCCUCUGAACGGUUAGAAAUCGUAUCUAGAGUGUAAAGGCAUAAGGAAGCUUGACUGUGAGACCUACAAGUCGAGCAGGGACGAAAGUCGGUCUUAGUGAUCUGACGGUACUGAGUGGAAAGGCCGUCACUCAACGGAUAAAAGUUACUCUAGGAUAACAGGCUGAUCUCCCCCAAGAGUUCACAUCGACGGGGAGGUUUGGCACCUCGAUGUCGGCUCAUCGCAUCCUGGGGCGGUAGUACGUCCCAAGGGUUGGGCUGUUCGCCCAUGAAAGCGGUACGCGAGCUGGGUUCAGAACGUCGUGAGACAGUUCGGUCCAUAUCCGGUGUAGGCGUUAGAAUAUUGAGAGGAGCCUUCUUUAGUACGAGAGGACCGAGAUGGACAUACCUCUGGUGUACCAGUUAUCGUGCCAACGGUAAACGCUGGGUAGCUAUGUAUGGAGUGGAUAACCGCUGAGAGCAUCUAAGUGGGAAGCCCACCUCAAGAUAAG
This 1234-nucleotide ribosomal RNA is filed under the name metagenome. RNAcentral describes it as "bacterial LSU rRNA". It matches the Rfam family "Bacterial large subunit ribosomal RNA", at positions 1564 to 2808 of the family's 2925-position model. The record is from RNAcentral.